GAUGAACGCUGGCGGCGUGCCUAACACAUGCAAGUCGAGCGAAGCGAUUUGGCGGAAGUUUUCGGAUGGAAGCUAAAUUGACUGAGCGGCGGACGGGUGAGUAACGCGUGGGUAACCUGCCUCAUACAGGGGGAUAACAGUUAGAAAUGACUGCUAAUACCGCAUAAGACCACAGCGCCGCAUGGUGCAGGGGUAAAAACUCCGGUGGUAUGAGAUGGACCCGCGUCUGAUUAGCUGGUUGGUGGGGUAACGGCCUACCAAGGCGACGAUCAGUAGCCGACCUGAGAGGGUGACCGGCCACAUUGGGACUGAGACACGGCCCAA
Molecule: ribosomal RNA, 324 nt
Filed under: uncultured bacterium
Lineage: Bacteria
Description: bacterial SSU rRNA
Rfam family: Bacterial small subunit ribosomal RNA
Source: RNAcentral